Molecule: ribosomal RNA, 253 nt
Filed under: uncultured bacterium
Lineage: Bacteria
Description: partial 16S ribosomal RNA
Rfam family: Bacterial small subunit ribosomal RNA
Source: RNAcentral
UACAGAGGUCCCAAGCGUUGUUCGGAUUCACUGGGCGUAAAGGGUGCGCAGGUGGUCGGGUAAGUCUGAUGUGAAAUCCCGCAGCUCAACUGCGGAAUGGCAUUGGAUACUAUUUGGCUAGAGGGUUGGAGGGGGGACUGGAAUUCUCGGUGUAGCAGUGAAAUGCGUAGAUAUCGAGAGGAACACCUGCGGCGAAGGCGGGUUGCUGGGCUGACACUGACGCUGAAGCGCGAAAGCUAGGGGAGCGAACGGG